RNAcentral lists this ribosomal RNA (449 nucleotides) under uncultured bacterium. RNAcentral's name for it is "bacterial SSU rRNA". It matches the Rfam family "Bacterial small subunit ribosomal RNA", at positions 28 to 478 of the family's 1533-position model. The record is from RNAcentral.
GAUGAACGCUGGCGGCGUGCUUAACACAUGCAAGUCGAACGGGAAAUAUUUCAUUGAGACUUCGGUGGAUUUGAUCUAUUUCUAGUGGCGGACGGGUGAGUAACGCGUGGGUAACCUGCCUUAUACAGGGGGAUAACAGUCAGAAAUGGCUGCUAAUACCGCAUAAGCGCACAGGGCUGCAUGGCUCAGUGUGAAAAACUCCGGUGGUAUAAGAUGGACCCGCGUUGGAUUAGCUGGUUGGUGGGGUAACGGCCCACCAAGGCGACGAUCCAUAGCCGGCCUGAGAGGGUGAACGGCCACAUUGGGACUGAGACACGGCCCAGACUCCUACGGGAGGCAGCAGUGGGGAAUAUUGCACAAUGGGGGAAACCCUGAUGCAGCGACGCCGCGUGAAGGAAGAAGUAUCUCGGUAUGUAAACUUCUAUCAGCAGGGAAGAUAGUGACGGUAC